AGAUUGAACGCUGGCGGCAGGCUUAACACAUGCAAGUCGAGCGGGGAAAGGUAGCUUGCUACCUGACCUAGCGGCGGACGGGUGAGUAAUGCUUAGGAAUCUGCCUAUUAGUGGGGGACAACAUUCCGAAAGGAAUGCUAAUACCGCAUACGCCCUACGGGGGAAAGCAGGGGAUCUUCGGACCUUGCGCUAAUAGAUGAGCCUAAGUCAGAUUAGCUAGUUGGUGGGGUAAAGGCCUACCAAGGCGACGAUCUGUAGCGGGUCUGAGAGGAUGAUCCGCCACACUGGGACUGAGACACGGCCCAGACUCCUACGGGAGGCAGCAGUGGGGAAUAUUGGACAAUGGGCGAAAGCCUGAUCCAGCCAUGCCGCGUGUGUGAAGAAGGCCUUUUGGUUGUAAAGCACUUUAAGCGAGGAGGAGGCUACUUAGAUUAAUACUCUAGGAUAGUGGACGUUACUCGCAGAAUAAGCACCGGCUAACUCUGUGCCAGCAGCCGCGGUAAUACAGAGGGUGCGAGCGUUAAUCGGAUUUACUGGGCGUAAAGCGUGCGUAGGCGGCUUCUUAAGUCGGAUGUGAAAUCCCUGAGCUUAACUUAGGAAUUGCAUUCGAUACUGGGAAGCUAGAGUAUGGGAGAGGAUGGUAGAAUUCCAGGUGUAGCGGUGAAAUGCGUAGAGAUCUGGAGGAAUACCGAUGGCGAAGGCAGCCAUC
Molecule: ribosomal RNA, 709 nt
Filed under: Acinetobacter johnsonii
Lineage: Bacteria; Pseudomonadati; Pseudomonadota; Gammaproteobacteria; Moraxellales; Moraxellaceae
Description: bacterial SSU rRNA
Rfam family: Bacterial small subunit ribosomal RNA
Source: RNAcentral